GAGGGUAUAGCUUAGUGGUAGAGUGUGUGCCUAGCAUGUACUGAGGUCCUGGGUUCAAUUCCUAGUACUGACA
RNAcentral lists this transfer RNA (73 nucleotides) under Camelus bactrianus (Bactrian camel). It matches the Rfam family "tRNA". Rfam says of the family: Transfer RNA (tRNA) molecules are approximately 80 nucleotides in length. Their secondary structure includes four short double-helical elements and three loops (D, anti-codon, and T loops). Further hydrogen bonds mediate the characteristic L-shaped molecular structure. tRNAs have two regions of fundamental functional importance: the anti-codon, which is responsible for specific mRNA codon recognition, and the 3' end, to which the tRNAs corresponding amino acid is attached (by aminoacyl-tRNA synthetases). tRNAs cope with the degeneracy of the genetic code in two manners: having more than one tRNA (with a specific anti-codon) for a particular amino acid; and 'wobble' base-pairing, i.e. permitting non-standard base-pairing at the 3rd anti-codon position. Lineage: Eukaryota; Metazoa; Chordata; Mammalia; Artiodactyla; Camelidae. RNAcentral also lists the same sequence under 2 other names. The record is from Rfam by way of RNAcentral.